GGCUUGUUGCUUCACCUUGAAAACCCGCGGUUCAACUGUGGGCUUGCAGCUGAUACGGGCAGGCUUGAGUUCGGUAGGGGAGACUGGAAUUCCUGGUGUAGCGGUGAAAUGCGCAGAUAUCAGGAGGAACACCGGUGGCGAAGGCGGGUCUCUGGGCCGAUACUGACGCUGAGGAGCGAAAGCGUGGGGAGCGAACAGGAUUAGAUACCCUGGUAGUCCACGCUGUAAACGUUGGGCGCUAGGUGUGGGGGGCCUCUCCGGUUCUCUGUGCCGCAGCUAACGCAUUAAGCGCCCCGCCUGGGGAGUACGGCCGCAAGGCUAAAACUCAAAGGAAUUGACGGGGGCCCGCACAAGCGGCGGAGCAUGCGGAUUAAUUCGAUGCAACGCGAAGAACCUUACCUGGGUUUGACAUGGGCGCUAAAACCGCAGAGAUGUGGUGUCCUUCGGGGGCGUUCACAGGUGGUGCAUGGCUGUCGUCAGCUCGUGUCGUGAGAUGCGGGCUAAGUC
Molecule: ribosomal RNA, 507 nt
Filed under: uncultured actinomycete
Lineage: Bacteria; Bacillati; Actinomycetota; Actinomycetes; Actinomycetales
Description: bacterial SSU rRNA
Rfam family: Bacterial small subunit ribosomal RNA
Source: RNAcentral